CUGGGUGUAAGGGUGCUCAGGUGGUCUUGUAAGUCAGAGGUGAAAUCCCGGAGCUUAACUCCGGAACUGCCUUUGAUACUACAAGGCUUGAGUAUGGAAGAGGUUGAUGGAAUUUCGGGUGUAGCAGUGAAAUGCGUAGAUAUCCGAAAGAACACCAGUGGCGAAGGCGGUCAACUGGUCCAUUACUGACACUAAAGCACGAAAGCGUGGGUAGCGAACAGGAUUAGAUACCCUGGUAGUCCACGCCUUAAACGAUGAAUACUAGACGUUGGGGUUAAACUCAGUGUCGCAGCUAACGCAUUAAGUAUUCCACCUGGGGAGUACGAUCGCAAGGUUGAAACUCAAAGGAAUUGACGGGGGCCCGCACAAGCAGUGGAGCAUGUGGUUCAAUUCGAUGCAACGCGAAGAACCUUACCUGGGCUUGACAUAUAAGCUAAUGUCGAUGAAAGUCGGCGUCCCGCAAGGGGAGCUUAAACAGGUGCUGCAUGGCUGUCGUCAGCUCGUGCCGUGAGGUGUUGGGUUAAGUCCCGCAACGAGCGCAACCCUUGUCUUUAGUUGCUACCGGGUAAUGCCGGGCACUCUAAAGAGACUGCCUACGCAAGUAGUGAGGAAGGUGGGGAUGACGUCAAGUCCGCAUGGCCCUUACGCCCAGGGCCACACACGUGCUACAAUGGAUACUACAAAGGGCUGCGAGACCGCGAGGUGGAGCCAAUCCCUAAAAAGUAUUCUCAGUUCGGAUCGGAGUCUGAAACUCGACUCCGUGAAGCUGGAAUUGCUAGUAAUCGUGGAUCAGCACGCCACGGUGAAUACGUUCCCGGGCCUUGUACACACCGCCCGUCAAGCCAUGGAAGUUGGGGGUACCCGAAGUCGCCUUAAUAAGCGC
This 883-nucleotide ribosomal RNA is filed under the name uncultured bacterium. Its description in RNAcentral is "bacterial SSU rRNA". It matches the Rfam family "Bacterial small subunit ribosomal RNA", at positions 554 to 1442 of the family's 1533-position model. The record is from RNAcentral.